CAUGAUUUGAGGCUGGUCUAAACAGAUUAUUCUGACAGACAUAAUCUUAAUGUUACCGACUGGAUCAGAGUCUCCCCCGAUUUCUGACUGGAAAUCCUACAGUGUGAAAGGAACAGCGAUGGAUUAUUGAGCAAAAACCCGCAAUAGUCAAUGAGAGCCAGCUGAUCGGGUGGACAGAAGAAGAGGAAGACAAGCUUGUGAGACAUAGCACACACAAAUGCAACCAUCUGACGACAGUCCACCUCCAUGUUUUUCACAUAUGAUCCUGCCAGUUUCUGUGAGAGCCCAAGUCCCUGAAAUCGGCACUCUGAAAUAAUUUAGGAUAAGUGUGUGUGAUCCUGAGUCUUGACUGAAUCGUCUUGUGUGUGCACUAUUACGAUUAAAAUAUUAGCAAUCUGUU
Sander lucioperca (pikeperch) is the source of this 400-nucleotide long non-coding RNA. RefSeq lists it as uncharacterized. Lineage: Eukaryota; Metazoa; Chordata; Actinopteri; Perciformes; Percidae. The transcript is spliced from 2 exons. The record is from RefSeq and is a predicted model, not a curated record.